GAUGAACGCUGGCGGCGUGCUUAACACAUGCAAGUCGAACGGUGAAGGCGGAGCUUGCUCUGCUGGAUCAGUGGCGAACGGGUGAGUAACACGUGAGCAAUCUGCCCCUGACUCUGGGAUAAGCGCUGGAAACGGCGGCUAAUACUGGAUACGAGCUGCGCAGGCAUCUUCAGCAGCUGGAAAGAAUUUCGGUCAGGGAUGAGCUCGCGGCCUAUCAGCUUGUUGGUGAGGUAAUGGCUCACCAAGGCGUCGACGGGUAGCCGGCCUGAGAGGGUGACCGGCCACACUGGGACUGAGACACGGCCCAGACUCCUACGGGAGGCAGCAGGGGGGAAUAUUGCACAAUGGGCGAAAGCCUGAUGCAGCAACGCCGCGUGAGGGACGACGGCCUUCGGGUUGUAAACCUCUUUUAGCAGGGAAGAAGCGAAAGUGACGGUACCUGCAGAAAAAGCGCCGGCUAACUACGUG
This 468-nucleotide ribosomal RNA is filed under the name uncultured bacterium. Its description in RNAcentral is "partial 16S ribosomal RNA". It matches the Rfam family "Bacterial small subunit ribosomal RNA", at positions 28 to 507 of the family's 1533-position model. The record is from RNAcentral.